Molecule: long non-coding RNA, 2052 nt
Organism: Labeo rohita (rohu)
Lineage: Eukaryota; Metazoa; Chordata; Actinopteri; Cypriniformes; Cyprinidae
Exons: 5
Source: RefSeq, a predicted model, not a curated record
AAUCUUGAGUUUCACUGUGCCUGAACAGUCUGUCAGGAUCAAACACAAGAGAGAGGAACUAUGAGCCCAGAUCUGAAAACAGGUCAAAAUGAGGAGGUUUCUGGAAAUUCUGUGAUCUUGUGCUGUUUUUACAGUGACAAUAAACUGAAGACAUGAUGUUUAAGACAUGGCAUUGUAUUAAAAAUUAAUUAAGAGAAAUGUUUCAUUUGAGGAUCAGGAUCCACAAUACCACACUUUUCCAGAGGAAUUUACAAAAGGAAGAUUCUCUCUCAUUCUCAUUUGGUGCUUCAUCUGUGUAUUUGCAGUGCUGAUAAACGAAGUGUGUCUGCAGGUCACAGUAGAGGCUGUUAUCGGUUGUUCUGUUGUUCUGCCGUGUUCUUCAACUGAACAAGAUCAAGACACUGAAGUGCAUUGGAGACACAAUGGCAGCAAGAUUGUGUAUGAUAUAAUUAGGGGUAAAGAAUCAGUAGAGAAUCAGGAACAGCGGUAUAAGAAUAGAGCUGAAACUUUCCCUGAGGAGUAUGAGAGAGGAACCUUCUCCAUCAAACUCAACAAUCUUACUCACGUUGAUGCAGGAAGAUACAGCUGCUACAUCACACCCUCAGAUGAACAGAAGACUAUACAGCUGAUCAUCAACGAAUCAACAUCAGAAACAGGACACAAACCCUGUGAUCAAGAAAACCAAGCAGUAGAUUCAGGAGCAGACAGUGUUUUGAAAUCAGGGCCUUUGCUCUUGGUUUGCAUUGUAGCUUUAUUAUUAUAGGGAUUAUAGCCACUUCCAUCCUAUUUCAUUCGAGCCCUGUGUUUAUGAAUUUGGUUGUUUCAUGGUUUCUGCCCUGACCAUCACCUGCUAUUUGGAUUAUUUUUUGUAUUCCCCUGAGACAUUGUUUUUUGCUGGUGUUUGACCCUGCCUGUUUUUUUUUUUUUUUUUUUUUUUUUUUUUUUUUUUUUUUUUAUUGUUUUGCACUUGAAUUCCCUACUCCUACCCCUACACAUUUAACACUGAUUAUUCAGGUAGGCAAGGCUGCAUUAACCAUUGGGCUAGGGGCCCGAGCAAGGAGGGGGCCCACGUCACAUGUUGUCAUCUCGAAAUUAUGGUAAUUAGGAUAUGGCGUGAAUGCGAAUUUGGUUUACAAAUGCAUUUAUUCUAUAUUUUACUUUUGAACGAGAUAAGAUGAUGCCAACCCCACAGAGGACUUCAGAUGAUGCCAACCCUGAAAACAUACAGCACUACCGAAUUCUGCUACUAAUUUAUAGUGUUCUUUGUCUGUUUGAUUACAUCAUUAAUUGAUCUUUACCACACAUAUCUGCCAUAUGUACAUCAAGCUACUACUACAUAUAUAUUGUAAAAAUGUCAAUUUGGUGUAAAGCUGCUUUGCAACGAUAUGUAUCGUGAAAAGCGCUAUACAAAUAAAUUUGAAAAAAAAAGUUGAAUUGAAUUGAAUUGAAUUGAACGACCUGUGCACAUAUCGCAGCGCCUGAUGUCCACAUCCACCUCUCAUCACUUCGUUCUGGCAUAAUCUGGAAAUGGUACGCAAUAGAAUUUAUCUUCGAUAAGUAAAAAUGUCAGCUUUUCUAAAAACAAAGGGGGCUAUCUGAAAAUAAAUUAGAAAAGGGGAAAACAUGAUCUACCCAUCUAGGGUAUUUUACUAAAGUUGUGUAAUACCAAGUGGACCGGGCACAUGGAGCAGAUAAAAACACAGCGUCAUCGUCACCCACAGAUUUAAGUUUAGUUUGAUUAUAAACUUGCUGAAUGUAUAGCCUAUAUGUGAUCAGUCACAUGACAGGAAUCAGGAACAAACAGUAUAAAGGAGGCAGCAUGUCAAACAAUCAGGAGUUUAUUUUAAGGACUUGCCAUUCCAGCAUCACUUUUAUUGGAUUACACUUCUUUGGACUGUAUAUACACCAGUGGACACUUUUACUUGGAACUUACAGCACGCUGGAUUUCUUAAGGACCGUUUUAAUGGUAUGGAACUGAAGGACUCUGUGCUUUUAACAGCCUAGGAUUUCUAGUUUUAUAGUGUUGUUUUGGUUCCUUGUGAAUUUGUAAAU